This 159-nucleotide small RNA is filed under the name Saccharothrix sp. RNAcentral's name for it is "c-di-AMP sequence". It matches the Rfam family "c-di-AMP riboswitch aptamer (ydaO/yuaA leader)". From Rfam's summary of the family: This family represents a conserved RNA structure found upstream of the ydaO and yuaA genes in Bacillus subtilis and related genes in other bacteria. The record is from RNAcentral. Lineage: Bacteria; Bacillati; Actinomycetota; Actinomycetes; Pseudonocardiales; Pseudonocardiaceae.
GGCUGCACUUCACCGCAGUGCACGGCAGGAGCGGGGGACCCACAGGUAAGUCGCCGAGCCCGGAGAUCCGGGACGGCUAGGGGCGAAGCCGCAUCCGUGCGGCCGGGCUACUCCCUGCCCGAACCCGACAGCUCACCUCGCAGGCGUCGGAGAGGAUUU